RNAcentral lists this ribosomal RNA (482 nucleotides) under Vibrio sp. RNAcentral describes it as "bacterial SSU rRNA". It matches the Rfam family "Bacterial small subunit ribosomal RNA", at positions 386 to 860 of the family's 1533-position model. The record is from RNAcentral. Lineage: Bacteria; Pseudomonadati; Pseudomonadota; Gammaproteobacteria; Vibrionales; Vibrionaceae.
AUGCAGCCAUGCCGCGUGUAUGAAGAAGGCCUUCGGGUUGUAAAGUACUUUCAGCAGUGAGGAAGGUGGUAGUGUUAAUAGCACUAUCAUUUGACGUUAGCUGCAGAAGAAGCACCGGCUAACUCCGUGCCAGCAGCCGCGGUAAUACGGAGGGUGCGAGCGUUAAUCGGAAUUACUGGGCGUAAAGCGCAUGCAGGUGGUUUGUUAAGUCAGAUGUGAAAGCCCGGGGCUCAACCUCGGAAUAGCAUUUGAAACUGGCAGACUAGAGUACUGUAGAGGGGGGUAGAAUUUCAGGUGUAGCGGUGAAAUGCGUAGAGAUCUGAAGGAAUACCGGUGGCGAAGGCGGCCCCCUGGACAGAUACUGACACUCAGAUGCGAAAGCGUGGGGAGCAAACAGGAUUAGAUACCCUGGUAGUCCACGCCGUAAACGAUGUCUACUUGGAGGUUGUGGCCUUGAGCCGUGGCUUUCGGAGCUAACGCGU